GAUGAAGAACGUAGCGAAAUGCGAUAAGUAAUGUGAAUUGCAGAAUUCAGUGAAUCAUCGAAUCUUUGAACGCACAUUGCGCCCCCUGGUAUUCCGGGGGGCAUGCCUGUCCGAGCGUCAUUACAACCCUCAAGCUCAGCUUGGUGUUGGGCCCCGCCGCCCCGGCGGGCCCUAAAGUCAGUGGCGGUGCCGUCCGGCUCCGAGCGUAGUAAUUCUUCUCGCUCUGGAGGUCCGGUCGAGUGCUCGCCAGCAACCCCCAAUUUUUUUCAGGUUGACCUCGGAUCAGGUAGGGAUACCCGCUGAACUUAAGCAUAUCAAUAAGCGGAGGA
Molecule: unclassified non-coding RNA, 329 nt
Filed under: soil metagenome
Description: partial contains 5.8S ribosomal RNA, internal transcribed spacer 2, and large subunit ribosomal RNA
Rfam family: 5.8S ribosomal RNA (bases 1-120)
Source: RNAcentral